UUCUUCCCUUCCUCAUUCCUCUUUUAUCUCUCUCCUUCCCCCUCCUCCUCCACCUCCUCCUGCUCCUCCUGUUCUCCCUGCAGUUUUGGGUACAGCUAACCCUGCUCCCAUCCUCCUGCAUCCGGCUAACCUGACCAGCCAGGCCAGUGCUGUGCAGGUUUUUCAGCUGCCUGAUGGCCAAUUUCUGUUCCCUAUUGAAUACCUGAUGCCAGUGCACGACGCCCGCCCCGCUGCAGCCACCCCGAGCCCCUGCUGCUCACAGAAAAGGAAGCGUGUAAAUGACGAGCUGCCGUAUAUAAAGAAGCCACCCAACGCCUUCUUGCUCUUCUUGAAGGAGCAGAGGGCGGCUGUGGUGGCUGAGCUCGGCAUCACCGGGAGCGCGGCCGUGAACACCGUCUUGGGGGAGAGAGUCCUUGUCUUCUGAGCAGCAGGCAAAGUAUUUUCAGGAGGCCAAUCAGUUGAGGCGGCAGCACGAGCAACAACACCCCCACUGGUCCAGCAUGGACAACUAUGUACGUACGCUGUGCUCAGACACGAUCACCUCACGGCACUGACGCUGAUGAACGGUGACAGCAAAGAUUUCCUAUAACCUGAUAUCAGAGGAAAAAUCUAAUGUGUCUUUUUCUGUGUUUUUAGGGCCAGAGGAGGAAGAGGAGGCGCCAGAGGAGCACAGCUCCCAGCAACUCUGGAGCUUCCUCUUCUCAGCCCGAGAUGGGUCUUCAGGGGUCAGCUUC
Molecule: long non-coding RNA, 734 nt
Organism: Melanotaenia boesemani (Boeseman's rainbowfish)
Lineage: Eukaryota; Metazoa; Chordata; Actinopteri; Atheriniformes; Melanotaeniidae
Exons: 6
Source: RefSeq, a predicted model, not a curated record